Molecule: ribosomal RNA, 233 nt
Filed under: uncultured Candidatus Saccharibacteria bacterium
Lineage: Bacteria; Candidatus Saccharimonadota
Description: partial 16S ribosomal RNA
Rfam family: Bacterial small subunit ribosomal RNA
Source: RNAcentral
UAAGUUGGUAGUGAAAGCGUUCGGCUCAACCGAAUAACAUUACCAAACUGCAAAGCUAGAGGAUGAGAGAGGUUAUUGGAAUUCCCUGUGUAGGAGUGAAAUCCGUAGAUAUAGGGAGGAACACCGAUGGCGUAGGCAGAUAACUGGCUCAUUCCUGACACUAAGGCACGAAAGCGUGGGUAGCAAACGGGAUUAGAUACCCCGGUAGUCCACGCCGUAAACUAUGGAUGCUA